Molecule: ribosomal RNA, 759 nt
Filed under: uncultured organism
Description: bacterial SSU rRNA
Rfam family: Bacterial small subunit ribosomal RNA
Source: RNAcentral
CGAUGUGCCUAAGGUAUGCAAGUCGAACGAUUCCUGUAUCUUCGGAUACAGGGAGUGGCAAACGGCUGAGUAACGCGUAGGAACCUACCCCAGACUCGAGUAUAGCCCCGCGAAAGCGGGGGUAAUCCUCGGUAGCCCGUGAAGUAUUUUACUUCACGGUAAAGCUUUUGCGGUUUGGGAUGGGCCUGCGUCCUAUCAGGUAGUUGGUGAGGUAAAUGCUCACCAAGCCUAUGACGGGUAGCUGGUCUGAGAGGAUGGUCAGCCAGACUGGGACUGCGACACGGCCCAGACUCCUACGGGAGGCAGCAACUAGGAAUUGUGCGCAAUGGACGAAAGUCUGACGCCGCGACAUCGCGUGGAGGAUGAAGGUCUUCGGAUUGUAAACUCCUUUUCUUACCGAACAAGUUCUGAGUGUAGGUAAGGAAUAAGUGCCUGCUAACCACGUGCCAGAAGCAUCGGUAAUACGUGGGGCACGAGCGUUAUCCGGAUUUACUGGGCGUAAAGAGAAGCGUAGGCGGCUCAAUAAGUUUGGUGUUAAAUCUUCCGGCUCAACCGGAAACAAGCACCGAAAACUAUCGAGAUUGAGUCGAGUAGGGAAGAGGGGAAUUCCUGGUGGAGCGGUUAAAUGCGUAGACAUCAGGAGGAAUACCAAGGGCGAAGGCACCUCUUUGGACUCGUACUGACGCUGAGGCUCGAAAGCGUGGGUAGCAAAACGGAUUAGAUACCCGUGUAGUCCACGCCGUAAACGAUCCCUGUUAG